RNAcentral lists this ribosomal RNA (164 nucleotides) under Veronica dichrus. RNAcentral describes it as "5.8S ribosomal RNA". It matches the Rfam family "5.8S ribosomal RNA". From Rfam's summary of the family: 5.8S ribosomal RNA (5.8S rRNA) is a component of the large subunit of the eukaryotic ribosome. Lineage: Eukaryota; Viridiplantae; Streptophyta; Magnoliopsida; Lamiales; Plantaginaceae. The record is from RNAcentral.
UCUAAACGACUUUCGGCAACGGAUAUCUCGGCUCUCGCAUCGAUGAAGAACGUAGCGAAAUGCGAUACUUGGUGUGAAUUGCAGAAUCCCGUGAACCAUCGAGUCUUUGAACGCAAGUUGCGCCCGAAGCCUUCAGGCCGAGGGCACGCCUGCCUGGGCGUCAC